Long non-coding RNA from Oreochromis niloticus (Nile tilapia), 3647 nucleotides. RefSeq lists it as uncharacterized. The record is from RefSeq and is a predicted model, not a curated record. NCBI's taxonomy places the organism in Eukaryota, Metazoa, Chordata, Actinopteri, Cichliformes, Cichlidae. The transcript is spliced from 2 exons.
CAAACAUAAUGAAAGGUGCAGUGCACAUUUUUGUUUGGCAACAUAUGUACAGUAAAUCUGGCCCUCAGCAUAAAUGUCCAGCUGCCAAAGCUGUGGUGUCACUGGUGUUGAACACUGUGUUAACAGGAUGUGUAAUGUGGUGUGCUGCUCCUGUGCUGCAGCCAGGGCUGGGUGGCAGCAGCACUGUAGGCUACAGUAGGGUGGUUAUCAUGAAGCAGUUAUGUAGCUGCUCUGCUGGGCCAGUCUAAUUACAGGAGAACAGCGUGCACCAGUCUGGGCCUCCAAAUGGCACCAUAUGUUUUCCCAGACUAACCGGCUGAAUAAAUGCCAUUUAACCAUUCAGGAUGCACUGUGCUCUGUGUCUGGAAAUCAGUCACUCACACUUAUAUAAAACCAUUCAUCCCGCACCCCCACAUGCACUCACACAAAAACAUACCACCCACCUCUGCCAUAUAAAACUCAGAUGUCGGCCAUUUACCCUGCUUACCCCAUCAUGCAUACUCACACAGCAUCCUGUCCCGUUUAACCAUUUACAAAUCCUAUUGUAAGUUUGUCUGUGUCGCUCUAACACACUCAUUGCACACUUGCAUAAUGAUGUUCUUUAUUUUGUUGUAGCUAGUUUAGUUAACUAAAGGGUCUAGUUAAUCAGAAACAGUGUUUCUAAGAAGACAGCAACAGGUUUAGGGUGAUGUCCAGUGAGUGACCCAUGCAGUGAAUGUGAUCAGUAAGUUGACAUGGGUCGACACAGGUAGGAAACAAAAGAGCAGAAAUACUUCUUUAAUUUAAGCAAUGCUUUCUGCUAUUCUGCUAAUGCCAUCGUUUAUUGAAAGCCAGUGCAAAUAUUGGCAGCCCAAGACGAAAAUAAAAAAUAAAAACAUAUACAGGGCUUUAGAUACUAAUCUCCAGAUCAGGAAUCUUGUAUUAAAAUUAUUUUUAAAAAUAGACUUUGCAAUGUAUUCCCCAACCAAAAUUCACUGGCAAAACCACACAACAUCGCUGAUAAUAGGAAAUUAUUCAUUGUGAUUGCGAAAAGCUGACAACAUUUGUAUCAUGACCUUUUUUUGGGAAAAGCUCCCUCUAUCAUCACAAGAUAGACCUUUCACACAUCAUCAGUUUGUUAAUGAGAACAGCCUAGAAAGAGGCACUCACAGAUGCCUAUCAAGGGCAGAAAACAAAAAGAGAAUGUAAGUAAAUAUGGACUGUAAUUAGUAUGACAAGGUUGAAAAAACAGAUAACACACCGCAGCAGCCUGAAGGGCUACACUUCCACACACGCGCAUGCACAAACACACUUGCACAUGCACGAGAUGCACACAGGCAUCUGAGUUCACACUUACACACACACUAAGAACAAAUCAAAUGUUUUAAUCAGCUUGCUACAGCACAUAAUGAGGAUCCACUAAGCUCCAGCUAUCAGCUGCCAUCGGCCACUUCGUUGUGCCUUCAAAGAGCUGAUUUUUCACUUCUUCUACAACAAGCUUAACACAGUAGCUUUCGAAAGUGAACACAGUCUGGGCACUGCAAUAAAACCUGAAAAAAGUAAGUGAUGUUUCAGCAAGUGAUAUAUGUGCAGUAAGGCAAAGAAGCAAUUAUGUGCAAGUGGACACGACAGCAAAACCUCUGGGGAAAAUGCGUAGGAGCGGAAUGCACCCUGUUUGUCACCAUUGUGAUUUACAACAUGCAAAUAUUAGAGCAUAGCUGUAUGUGGGCUUGGUAGAGAUGAAAGUCUGUGAUAUGCAACUCUGCAAACCAUAAAUCUAACAAUACAUGCUUAAAUACUUUGCAUAACCUAACUCGCUAAAGUAUGCUAACAGAUAGAAUAUCAGUUUACCUCUCACCUUGAGCGUAAACACACACAGACACCUGGUGAUGCAGCGUACACCUGGCCUAGCCACACCUGCUCAACAAGGCGAUCAGAUGAAUCAGUCAAUUCAUUAACACACAGCACAGUUUCCACAGAACUGAAAGUAUUCUUAAAUUCUUACUCAACUAUUCAGGUAUGUGCCUGCGAGACAGAAAUGUACACGCAGAGAUGCACAGAGCGUGUGCAGGUGUGCCUCCUGUUGCGGUUUCUGGCCUCCUGACACAGCUCUGACCUCUGUGAGAAAGACUUACAGCUCCAGCCCUCCAGCUGGAGAAGUGAUGACCCAAGAACCCAACAAUCUAAGACACUCGUCCUCUUGUCCUUGUGUCCUUCCUGCCUGCCUGCUGUAGUGUGUCUUGAAUGGGAGACAUGCAGAGGUACCCCUGAGAGUCAGCGGUCUGAAGCAUUUAAUAAAGAUUCCUGUAAUUUAACACUGAGUAUUUUGAAUUGAGUAUAUUUUCUUCCAUGUAAAAACAUGUGCUGUGCUCUUGCUUAACUCAUAAGAGAAACUGAAAACUGAGGAGAAGUAAUUUUUCUGUUAUGGAGCUUGCGUUUCCCUAUAAGGAGGAUGGCCUUAUGGGUAAAUGGUGUGACGUCAGUUCAGCAUUGUGGUACAUGAGGGUGUGUUUAGCACGAGAAGUGUCAUUAACAGUUUUGAUCCACAGAUAUAUCUUGUCUAUAUAUGCCUAUAUUUCAGUCCUACAGCUUUCUAAAUGUGUGCUCUGUUCUCUGUUUGAAACCUAAAAAACAAGUAAGUGUAGGCCUUAUCUGUGCACAGUUAAACAGUUAGGUUGUUUGAACAGAAAUAAAUGUCGCUGCCUAUUCCAAAUAAAUGCAUAUGGUAAAAAAAAAAAGUGAAAAAUAUGUGACAAGCCAUAGAUGCUGUAGUUAAGGGUCAAGUUUGAUUUCAUACCAUCUUUAAUAUGUGUUGACGUACUUGCAUCUCAUUCAUUUCUGUUUUGCACUUAAAGACUGUGUAAAAUAUAAAUACCAUAUACCCUUGAGCAAAUAUGCUCCAACUAGCAUUAAGAAAAGCUGUCCCAUCUGCAGCAGGGGUUGCCAUACAUGUCAAACGUAAAGCAGGGAAACUCAAGCCUCUGUUGAAACAUCCGGUGCAGGCUGCUGUAAAAUAAAUGAUGCUGUUAGCUGCAGUCUCGCAGGUGAAAUGUGCUGCUGCUACAAUUAUUCUAAUGCCAGCAUGCCAGAAUGCUAGUGCUACCAAAUGCUGCUGUCAACCCAGGGGUUUAAUUAGUUUGGCACGUGUGCCACUUAUAAUCACCUGCCAUUACCAGUUCUGGCUGCAUCUGCUUACACGUCUGUCAGUGGCGGGUAGGCUGUAUGUGUGUGUGUAUAGGUCUGUGGAUGGGUUCAUAAGGAUAUAUUUUGGCAACAGAAAACAGGCCUGAAUGGUUGCUGUACUUGCACGGGCUCUCUAUAAUGUCUAUAUUUUAAUAUACGGACAUAAGGAGGAGACAGAUAACUACAAAAUACAGGAGUCCUUUCUUUCAAGUGUAUAUUAAAAGGCUUUCUAGAGUAUCUGUCAACUACAGCGAGGACAAUUUUAUUAGUGGUACAGACUUGUCAGUAGGCCAUCUGUACACAUACAUUGUGAAAACAGAAGGGAGCAAGGCUUGGUAGUGUCAAACUGCAUUGUGAAUAGAGCUACACCUCAGGCUGAAUACAUCACAUUGUGAUUUCAUGAGAGCUGGAAGAGGAGGAAGAAGAAAAAAACUUCAGGGCAGCGAGUGAAUCUCGACCCAAAACAGGAGAAAUGGAAGUUAAAA